GCCUCGGUAGUCUAAAAGUUUAGGACGCUCGUAUGAAAUACAAGAGAUCCGGUUUCGACUCCCAGCCGAGGUA
This is a non-coding RNA of Trachymyrmex septentrionalis, 73 nucleotides long. NCBI's taxonomy places the organism in Eukaryota, Metazoa, Arthropoda, Insecta, Hymenoptera, Formicidae. The record is from Rfam.